RNAcentral lists this ribosomal RNA (496 nucleotides) under uncultured bacterium. Its description in RNAcentral is "partial 16S ribosomal RNA". It matches the Rfam family "Bacterial small subunit ribosomal RNA", at positions 29 to 507 of the family's 1533-position model. The record is from RNAcentral.
AUGAACGCUGGCGGCGUGCCUAAUACAUGCCAGUCGAGCGAACAGACGAGGAGCUUGCUCCUCUGAUGUUAGCGGCGGACGGGUGAGUAACACGUGGAUAACCUACCUAUAAGACUGGGAUAACUUCGGGAAACCGGAGCUAAUACCGGAUAACAUGUUGAACCGCAUGGUUCAACAGUGAAAGACGGUCUUGCUGUCACUUAUAGAUGGAUCCGCGCCGCAUUAGCUAGUUGGUAAGGUAACGGCUUACCAAGGCAACGAUGCGUAGCCGACCUGAGAGGGUGAUCGGCCACACUGGAACUGAGACACGGUCCAGACUCCUACGGGAGGCAGCAGUAGGGAAUCUUCCGCAAUGGGCGAAAGCCUGACGGAGCAACGCCGCGUGAGUGAAGAAGGUCUUCGGAUCGUAAAACUCUGUUAUUAGGGAAGAACAAAUGUGUAAGUAACUAUGCACGUCUUGACGGUACCUAAUCAGAAAGCCACGGCUAACUACGUG